Non-coding RNA from Coturnix japonica (Japanese quail), 634 nucleotides. The record is from RefSeq and is a predicted model, not a curated record. Lineage: Eukaryota; Metazoa; Chordata; Aves; Galliformes; Phasianidae.
UUCUCCUGUGCAUCAGAUGGGGACCAGUUAGGGGCCAGCCAGCAGCUACUCCUCAAGAGAAGCUGAGUCUGGUUUUGUGGCCUGACUGGUCUGUGAAUCUGCGUGUUCAAUAAGGAAAAUACACCUCCUGCUAAUUUCAUCUUGCCAUGGAGCCAGCUGACCCAGAAAUCACAUGGAUAAGUGACCCCAGUGGCUGUAGCUGUGCUCCCAGCUGUGCAUUGCUGGAGGUUUUUGGUCCACCAUGGGGACAAAGAUGAAAUAUAGGUACUGCUGAUACAGUGCUGAAGGCUGCUAUCAAGGUUAUCUUUGUUGAUUCUCAGUUAUUUAAUUGCAGGUAUGUGAAUGGUCGUGCUUUAAUGGCUGCUCCGUAUUAUUACAAGCCAAGAUAACACACAAGACAGCACGGUUGCUGACACUAUGAUAAUGGCCAAAUCUGACCAAGAGAGGGAUGGACCACACAGCGCCAGCAGCUCAAAGGCACAUGGAGUAAAGAAACAACAAAAAACCCAACCCUUAAACAAGUAGCAAGAAAAAGCCCUUGAAGACAACACAUCCAUUAAGGCCUGACCUGCAGAGUGCUCUACUUCUAGUGGUAUUCAUUUCAGUAUUAAAAAGAAGAGCUGCUAUAAGCCAA